UCCUCCAAUAGAACAGAACAGAAGUCUGGAUUCACUCGGGUGUCGGCAGUGUUCAGCUGUGUGGGAAUGAAGAAGAGUAAAUGAUGGAUCUUCAGAACUCCAGCAGUGGAGGAAGACCUCCUCUCCUAAAGGAGAAGAGAGCAGCAUCUCCAGCCCCCAGUGGAGUGUCUAUGAAGAGUGAUUGGUCCAUGGAGGAACCUCUAAAGUUCAGCAGUGGAGGAGGAAGCUCUGGGUCUCGAACUGAAACCCAGAGAGGAGCUUCUCCAGAGCCCAGCUGUGUGUCUAUGAAGAGUGACUGGUCCAUGGGGUAUCCUCCUACUUUAAGCAGUGAAGAUGUGACCUCUGACCCACAGUGAGUAAACAUCAAAGAUUAAUUACUGAAUAUUAUAGUAAUAUACCUUGUUAGUGCAUAUAACACACACACACAGAGGAGGUCGGUGUGAGAUUGUGAGUUUCUCUAUAUGUAAUGAUCAGUGUACACAGGUAUGUGUGAUGGGAUGGCAGGAUUUAGAUUAGACUGACUGACCUGAACAAGUAAAUUACAAUAUCAGCUACAGGUUGGAGAAUUACACAUACAUCUAUAUUAAGAGUGUGCGAUACUGAUAAAAAGAAAACAAUAUCUUGAUAAUUUCUGUAAUUUUGUCAGUAACGAUAAUAAACAAUAUUUUGUAUAACA
Molecule: long non-coding RNA, 676 nt
Filed under: Astyanax mexicanus (Mexican tetra)
Lineage: Eukaryota; Metazoa; Chordata; Actinopteri; Characiformes; Acestrorhamphidae
Description: lncRNA (ENSAMXG00005011186.1)
Source: RNAcentral